This 1238-nucleotide ribosomal RNA is filed under the name metagenome. Its description in RNAcentral is "bacterial LSU rRNA". It matches the Rfam family "Bacterial large subunit ribosomal RNA", at positions 1564 to 2813 of the family's 2925-position model. The record is from RNAcentral.
UGAAUACGAGACGCUAAGGCGUCGAAGUAGUGUAUGUCAUACUUCCAAGAAAAGCUUGCACUGUCAUAAGUAAAAAAUGCCUGUACCAUAACCGACACAGGUGGGUAGGUAGAGUAUACUAAGGGGCGCGAGAUAACUCUCUCUAAGGAACUCGGCAAAAUAACUCCGUAACUUCGGGAGAAGGAGUACCUUAUUCUAUAAGGUUGCAAUAACAAGAUCCAAGCAACUGUUUAUCAAAAACACAGGUCUCCGCUAAGUCGUAAUACGAUGUAUGGGGGCUGACGCCUGCCCAGUGCCAGAAGGUUAAAGAAGUCGGUUAGCAUUAGCGAAGCUGGUAACUGAAGCCCUGGUGAACGGCGGCCGUAACGAUAACGGUCCUAAGGUAGUGAAAUUCCUUGUCGGGUAAGUUCCGACCCGCACGAAAGGCGUAAUGAUUUGGAUACUGUCUCGGAGAGGGGCUCGGUGAAAUAGACUUGUCUGUGAAGAUGCGGACUACCUGCACCAGGACAGAAAGACCCUAUGAAGCUUUACUGUAACUUGAAAUUGAAAUCGACUUUAUUCGCGCAGUAUAGGUGGGAGGUGUUGAUUAUAAUCUUGCGGGAUUAUUGGAGCCAUCAGUGAGAUACCACUCUUGUAAUGUUAGAUUUCUAACUUUGAAUCAUUAUCUGGUCAAAGGACAGUUUCAGGCGGGCAGUUUGACUGGGGCGGUCGCCUCCCAAACGGUAACGGAGGCGUACAAAGGUUUCCUCUGAACGGGUAGAAAUCGUAUCUAGAGUGUAAAGGCAUAAGGAAGCUUGACUGUGAGACCUACAAGUCGAACAGGGACGAAAGUCGGUCUUAGUGAUCUGACGGUACUGAGUGGAAAGGCCGUCACUCAACGGAUAAAAGUUACUCUAGGAUAACAGGCUGAUCUCCCCCAAGAGUUCACAUCGACGGGGAGGUUUGGCACCUCGAUGUCGGCUCAUCGCAUCCUGGGGCGGUAGUACGUCCCAAGGGUUGGGCUGUUCGCCCAUGAAAGCGGUACGCGAGCUGGGUUCAGAACGUCGUGAGACAGUUCGGUCCAUAUCCGGUGUAGCGUUAGAAUAUUGAGAGGAGCCUUCUUUAGUACGAGAGGACCGAGAAGGACAUACCUCUGGUGUACCAGUUAUCGUGCCAACGGUAAACGCUGGGUAGCUAUGUAUGGAGUGGAUAACCGCUGAAAGCAUCUAAGUGGGAAGCCCACCUCAAGAUAAGUAUUC